This 67-nucleotide transfer RNA is filed under the name Hodotermes mossambicus. RNAcentral's name for it is "tRNA-Thr". It matches the Rfam family "tRNA". Rfam says of the family: Transfer RNA (tRNA) molecules are approximately 80 nucleotides in length. Their secondary structure includes four short double-helical elements and three loops (D, anti-codon, and T loops). Further hydrogen bonds mediate the characteristic L-shaped molecular structure. tRNAs have two regions of fundamental functional importance: the anti-codon, which is responsible for specific mRNA codon recognition, and the 3' end, to which the tRNAs corresponding amino acid is attached (by aminoacyl-tRNA synthetases). tRNAs cope with the degeneracy of the genetic code in two manners: having more than one tRNA (with a specific anti-codon) for a particular amino acid; and 'wobble' base-pairing, i.e. permitting non-standard base-pairing at the 3rd anti-codon position. The record is from RNAcentral. Lineage: Eukaryota; Metazoa; Arthropoda; Insecta; Blattodea; Hodotermitidae.
GUUUUAAUAAUUUAACCACAAAAAUAUUGGUCUUGUAAACCAAAAAUAAGGAAAACCUUUUAAAACU